AACGAACGCUGGCGGCAGGCUUAACACAUGCAAGUCGAACGUGAUCUUCGGAUCUAGUGGCAGACGGGUGAGGAACACGUGGGAACAUCCCUUUCAGUUCGGAAUAACGUUGGGAAACUAACGCUAAUACCGGAUACGUCCUUCGGGAGGAAGAUUUAUCGCUGAAAGAUUGGCCCGCGUCUGAUUAGCUAGUUGGUGAGGUAACGGCUCAUCAAGGCUACGAUCAGUAGCUGAUCUGAGAGGAUGAUCAGCCACAUUGGGACUGAGACACGGCCCAAACUCCUACGGGAGGCAGCAGUGGGGAACAUUGGACAAUGGGCGCAAGCCUGAUCCAGCCAUGCCGCGUGAGUGAUGACGGCCUUCGGGUUGUAAAGCUCUUUUGUCCGGGAAGAUAAUGACUGUACCGGAAGAAUAAGCCCCGGCAAACUUCGUGCCAGCCGCCGCCGUAA
Molecule: ribosomal RNA, 449 nt
Filed under: uncultured bacterium
Lineage: Bacteria
Description: partial 16S ribosomal RNA
Rfam family: Bacterial small subunit ribosomal RNA
Source: RNAcentral